RNAcentral lists this transfer RNA (57 nucleotides) under Ixodes scapularis (black-legged tick). It matches the Rfam family "tRNA", at positions 1 to 55 of the family's 71-position model. From Rfam's summary of the family: Transfer RNA (tRNA) molecules are approximately 80 nucleotides in length. Their secondary structure includes four short double-helical elements and three loops (D, anti-codon, and T loops). The record is from Rfam by way of RNAcentral. Lineage: Eukaryota; Metazoa; Arthropoda; Arachnida; Ixodida; Ixodidae.
CUCUGGUUAGCUCAGUUGGUAGAGCGCUCCACUGAAAAUGGAGAGGUCCCGGGCUCA